RNAcentral lists this long non-coding RNA (247 nucleotides) under Lathyrus oleraceus (garden pea). Its description in RNAcentral is "Pisum sativum (pea) long non-coding RNA (PSAT_LNC033568)". Lineage: Eukaryota; Viridiplantae; Streptophyta; Magnoliopsida; Fabales; Fabaceae. The record is from RNAcentral.
GUGCGAGGAAAUAAAUAAAGUAAAGCGAGUGCGAGGAAAUAAAUAAAAGAAAAGCGAGUGCGAGGAAAUAAAUAAAGUAAAGCGAUUGCGAGGAAAUAAAUAAAGCAAAGCAAGUGCGAGGAAAUAAAUAAAGUAAAACGAGUGCGGGAAAUUAAAUAAGAUAAAGACAAGUAAUAAAAACCUGCUCCAAUCGGAGGGUUGAAUAAAUUGCAAAGCGAAAAUGAAAAUGGCGGCAGGAUUAACUUCC